Molecule: long non-coding RNA, 1803 nt
Organism: Cygnus atratus (black swan)
Lineage: Eukaryota; Metazoa; Chordata; Aves; Anseriformes; Anatidae
Exons: 5
Source: RefSeq, a predicted model, not a curated record
CACACUAAAAGUGGUCCUGUAUCCUGACCAGGAGGAAAUAAUUGUUAACUGCACAGAACAAAACAGCUGUUCCAUUGCAACAGUUCCAAUUAGAAGUGAUCAGCAAGAAGCUGUGAGAAGAUAUCGAAAAGGAAUCCAAGUAGGAGAAGAGAGAAAUAACUUCUCUACUACAACAUGCCCAUGUUUGUGCAGUGCUUAUCAAAUGAAUCAUCUGAACCAUCACUGAUAUCAUCUACCUGGACCUCUUCCCUUUCUGUGAUAUGAAGAACUUCAGCAAUGAGAGCCAAUGUAUGGAAAUGUUUCCUUCCAUUUUUUUCUGUUUCAAAGAAGAUUUUGUGUGGAUCUGAAAUCUGUAUACUGCAAAGGGGAUAAUGAUUUUUGGAGGUCUGGACAAGACAACCCACGAGGAGUGCGAAUAAAGCGAUCCAUGUUGGCUGUUCCACUGCUGGAUAACCCCCUGUCAUUGACCCUUCUGCUCAACAGUCUCCACCUGCAGAUCUGUAAAAUAACUGUGUCUAUACUGAAUGGCUGAUUCAAGUCCUCACAGCAGGCGUGGAACGUGAUUACGAACUCUUAAAAGUAAAUCAUCAUGCACUUGUGUAUUAUAUGGACACAGUUGUUGAAUAUUUAUGGAGCAUAACUUGAACCUGUUGUUGAGAAACUCCAAUAUAUAAAUGUCUAGAAGAUAGUAAAAGAAAAAUGGCCAUCUCAGACAAAGGUCCCUCAAUAACAAAAACUUUAGUUUUUUUCUUCUACAAAAAGGGUGACUGUGUUCCAGCUCUUACAGCUGUAGACAACAUAAGAAAUAGUCAGGCAGACCACUGUAUAGAAUGAAAUCAUAGGCCACAAAAAUUUCUUAUGUUUUAUAUCCUGAGGGUAACAGUGUAAACACAGUAAUGCGUUGCAAUUAUGCAAUGCCUUUGAGGUGAGGAACCCAAAAUGUUUUGUAGAGGUGGGUAAAAACUAAGUUUUUGAAAGACUUACAAACAGCAGUGGGGAGCCUUCCCCACUUUUGUGCAAAAAAUUCAUUAUUUUCUCUAUGUCUCUCUGACUGAAAUUACAAAGCAAAAGCAAAACCAAAACAAACAAAAACCAAAACAAAAAACAAAACAAACAAAAAAAGAAACAAACCCAAAACAAAAACCCACCUGUUUGGGUCAAUAGAAAAUUAAUUCCUUAUUUUCUUAGUGAAGAUGAAGGUCACAUAUAAAAUAUUUCAUUUUAUUUUGCAUGUUGAAUUCCUUUUCUAAUAUGUCCUUUAUUCAAAAUAAGUUUUAAAGCAAGAUAUUUACAUGACAUGAUGUUUGACUUCCAGUUUUUGCCAUUUUAAUCUCAUUUUGAACUUUUUUCAACUCUUUUCAAUCUUUGAACUUGAUAGAAAUUAAUUAAAUAUUUCUGUUCUUCUCCUUUCCAAUUAAUGUAACUCUGUUCCACUCUCCUCCCAUUUAUGCUAUUAAUAUCCAUACAUUCUAAAUUUACACCAGUAACUCGUCCCACUGUGUAUUGAUUGAUGUAAUAAUUCAAUCCAAAAGCAGUGUCAUGUUGUCUGAACUACACAUAAUAUCACUGCAAACCAAGAAAAGCUUGCAGGGAAUGGAUGGAAUUUCAAGGCAAAUAGCACCUCUAGUUAUUAAGAGGCUGAGUAAUAUGGAUAGGAAAAGCUAUCCAUAUUGGGAAUCAUUCUGAAGGUCAAAUGAAGCAUUUGAAAUAAACUUUGUUAAUUUUCUUUAAGUCCAAGACAAUUAAGUUAAGAUUUCAGAGGGAAAAAUGAAAUAUGAAAAAUUUAACUGAAGUGUGCUUCAU